AGUGAACGCUGGCGGUAGGCCUAACACAUGCAAGUCGAACGGCAGCACAGGAGAGCUUGCUCUCUGGGUGGCGAGUGGCGGACGGGUGAGGAAUACAUCGGAAUCUACUUUUUCGUGGGGGAUAACGUAGGGAAACUUACGCUAAUACCGCAUACGACCUACGGGUGAAAGCAGGGGAUCUUCGGACCUUGCGCGAUUGAAUGAGCCGAUGUCGGAUUAGCGAGUUGGCGGGGUAAAGGCCCACCAAGGCGACGAUCCGUAGCUGGUCUGAGAGGAUGAUCAGCCACACUGGAACUGAGACACGGUCCAGACGCCUACGGGAGGCAGCAGUGGGGAAUAUUGGACAAUGGGCGCAAGCCUGAUCCAGCCAUACCGCGUGGAUGAAGAAGGCCUUCGGGUUGUAAAGCCCUUUUGUUGGGAAAGAAAUCCAGCUGGUUAAUACCCGGUUGGGAUGACGGUACCCAAAGAAUAAGCACCGGCUAACUUCGUGCCAGCAGCCGCAGUAA
RNAcentral lists this ribosomal RNA (506 nucleotides) under uncultured bacterium. RNAcentral describes it as "partial 16S ribosomal RNA". It matches the Rfam family "Bacterial small subunit ribosomal RNA", at positions 29 to 523 of the family's 1533-position model. The record is from RNAcentral.